GGUGAGUCAGGCCACGGUGGACAUCAGCGCCUACGGAUGUCAAGUCCCAGGUUCGGCCAUCUCCUGGUCAGAUCUGCGGGAAGCUCUGUGGUUUGACCUCAUAACCUGGCUCACUAGAAGCUCUCGCGGAGUUGAUAAAUCCGAUUUUGAAUGUGUGAUCUGAGUCCCGGCCGAGCCACCAAGCAGUACAUCUGGCCGCCCUAGCCUGCUGCUUUCUAAUCUCUAUAAUGGGUCUAGGCACUGCUGCCAUGUUACAGAGAGAGACACGAAUUGUGAAAGAAAGCACUGUGUGAACUCUGAGUGUUGGGCUUUGUCUGUUCAUUUCUUCAGACAGCUUCUGCAGGGUUACCAAACACGUGCUCGGCACGGCCAGCUGGGCACAGGGCAGCUUUCUCCCAGAGAGGACGCUCCUGAAUGUCAGAAAGAACAUGUGACCUCAUGAUAAAUUCUUCAUCAACAAUUCUUUUAAGUCACUCAAGAACCCCUGGUUGGCAAAGGCCCCAGGUCACCAUGGAUGUACUGGAAUGUCCCAUAGCCGCAUGGCCCAGAAAUGUGCUGCUGCUGGACUUUUCCAGGCCCUCGGGGGAAACCCACCCCAGAGCUUUCCAGGAGUCAGAGGUCGUCCUUCCGCGCUCUGAGAGACUCCAUGCUCCGGGAACAUCCAUCUGGGUGUCUGUUGCAAGGAGCUAUUGUGUCAUCAAAUCACCCAAAAAAGCCAGGGAGCCCAACCCCUGCUGAAGUGAGGACUGGGGGUGUCUCAGCAACAAAGCACACCCCAAAGAACAAAAGAGGCAAGAGCUGGAGAAUGGGGGCAUACACAUUCACCCACCGAGAAAAAAAUAAACGGUGCAUUGGGCAACUGGGUCUCACGUGUUCCAGAAACAAUUUUAUUACUUUACCGUUUUUGCUCAUAACUUACCCAUUGAAACCUGCUCUGUGGGGCUAGCUCUGAUUUUACCCAUACGUGAAUCUCUGACAGGUUCUGUGGCUCUCCUUUAAAAAAAAAUCCUCUGGCCACUAUUUAGCAACAUUUAUUAUGGAAAUUUUCAUGUAUAACCAAAAUUUUUUAAAAUGCUAUAAUGAACCCCAUAUCGUGAGUCAAUACUGCUUUGCUAGUUAUGAACCGUCUUGUCUCAUCGGUUUGCAUUUCGCCCAGAACACACAAUGGAAUACUUUUUUUAUAAGGUUUAUUAAUUUUUUUUUAGAGAGAGAGCACGAGUGGGAGGGGCAGAGGUAGAGAAAGAAUCCCAAGCAGACUCCCCACUGAGCAGGGACACCCCCCCGCCCACCGACGCAGCGCUCGAUCCCGCGACCCCAAGAUCCUGACCUGAGCCGGAGUCAAGACUGGGACACUCAACUCACUGGGUCACCCAGGCGUCCCUGUGCUGGAACCUUUUAAAACAAAUCCUCUGGUUAUUUUUACAAACAAAAUUGUCUUAGUUGAACUCAGUCUGGUGACAUAAUCUAGGAUCCCAAACUCCCAGACCCCAUGUCAAGUGGAAGUUCCCUCUCCCACCUGAGGCUGCUAUAGGCUGGGAGCCUGUCCGAGGUUCGCCUUCUCCUCCCGCUCACAGCUGCCUCCGGCUGCCUCAGGGCGGGGUAAGGGAGAGAGGAGAUGUUCCCGCUGGCUCUCAAAGGCUACAGGCCCAGGUCAGCUAGGAACCCCCCGUGGCCUCCUCAUAUCUCUCGCCCAUGCAGGUCUUGUCUCCUCGGACCGUGCCCAGGUCGGAUGGGCAAGGGGUGGAGACAGGCAGGUGUCAGGUUGCCCGGGUUGGAGAGCAAUGCAUGCCGGGUAAACCGGACACAGCACGGCCAGCCUUCACUAUGAUGACAUGUUUCCAGUGGAAAGAGAAUUUCGGUGGGAGGAAAGGAAGAUGCGCCCUGCUUGUAUGCACCAGGUGAAGUGCAGAGUUCUCAUUCCCGCCUGGGGGACCUGACAUCUCACUUGGGAAUGUGGAAAUAGCUGUCACUUCUUGCCUUGGAGUUCUGCUAUGCAGUGUGGAGGUCACAAGCCACGUGUGGCUGUGGAGCCCUGGAGAUGUGCCGUAAGUGCAAGCCACCCACUGGGCUUCCAACAGUAAGACCAUGGCUUACUACUAGUUUUAAAAUUGAUUACAUGCUAAACCGAUAAUACUUUUACAUUGCAUUAAGUCAAAUGUAUUGUUGAAACUAAUCUCACCUGUUUCUUUCGUGUGGCUACUAGAAAAUCUUAAAUGUACAAUCGAAAAAUGUUCUAUUGGAGGCUCCUAUCAUCCUUCUGCGGACAGCGUGGCCUUUGAGACUCACCAAAAACUGUGAGGGGAAAUUGUUGCAUUUUAAUAUCAAUGCAGGAACACUCUUCCUCCCUCCCCACCAAAAACAAAAAAACAGAAAACAAAAAUAACAACAACAACAACAACAACAAACCCAAAAAACACAAAAACUGGUCCUGGAGGGGCGCCUGGGUGGCUCAGUGGGUUAAGCCUCUGCCUUGGCUCAGGUCAUGAUCCCAGGGUCCUGGGAUCAAGCCCCGCAUCAGGCUCUCUGCUCAUCGGGGAGCCUGCUUCCCCCUCUCUCUCUGCCUGCCUCUCUGCCUACUUGUGA
Long non-coding RNA from Mustela lutreola (European mink), 2583 nucleotides. RefSeq lists it as uncharacterized. Lineage: Eukaryota; Metazoa; Chordata; Mammalia; Carnivora; Mustelidae. The record is from RefSeq and is a predicted model, not a curated record. The transcript has 3 exons.